This 253-nucleotide ribosomal RNA is filed under the name uncultured bacterium. RNAcentral describes it as "partial 16S ribosomal RNA". It matches the Rfam family "Bacterial small subunit ribosomal RNA", at positions 57 to 305 of the family's 1533-position model. The record is from RNAcentral.
GCAAGUCGAGGGGCAGCAUUUCUAGCUUGCUAGAAGAUGGCGACCGGCGCACGGGUGAGUAACGCGUAUGCAACCUACCUUAUACUGGGGGAUAGCCCAGAGAAAUUUGGAUUAAUACCUCAUAGCAUUAUCGAUUCGCAUGUUUUGAUAAUUAAAACUCCGGUGGUAUAAGAUGGGUAUGCGUGACAUUAGCUAGUUGGUGUAGUAACGGUGCACCAAGGCAACGAUGUCUAGGGGGUCUGAGAGGAUGGUC